RNAcentral lists this ribosomal RNA (253 nucleotides) under uncultured bacterium. RNAcentral's name for it is "partial 16S ribosomal RNA". It matches the Rfam family "Bacterial small subunit ribosomal RNA", at positions 524 to 776 of the family's 1533-position model. The record is from RNAcentral.
UACGUAGGAUGCAAGCGUUGUCCGGAAUUAUUGGGCGUAAAGAGCGCGCAGGCGGUGUAUCAGGUCAGAUGUGAAAGAGGCCGGCUUAACCGGCAAGGGUCAUUUGAAACUGAUAGACUAGAGUGCAGCAGAGGAUAGUGGAAUUCCCGGUGUAGUGGUGAAAUGCGUAGAUAUCGGGAGGAACACCAGUGGCGAAGGCGACUAUCUGGGCUGCAACUGACGCUGAGGCGCGAAGGCUAGGGUAGCAAACAGG